RNAcentral lists this ribosomal RNA (427 nucleotides) under Enterobacter cloacae. RNAcentral's name for it is "bacterial SSU rRNA". It matches the Rfam family "Bacterial small subunit ribosomal RNA", at positions 336 to 756 of the family's 1533-position model. Lineage: Bacteria; Pseudomonadati; Pseudomonadota; Gammaproteobacteria; Enterobacterales; Enterobacteriaceae. The record is from RNAcentral.
CUCCUACGGGAGGCAGCAGUGGGGAAUAUUGCACAAUGGGCGCAAGCCUGAUGCAGCCAUGCCGCGUGUAUGAAGAAGGCCUUCGGGUUGUAAAGUACUUUCAGCGGGGAGGAAGGCGACAGGGUUAAUAACCCUGUCGAUUGACGUUACCCGCAGAAGAAGCACCGGCUAACUCCGUGCCAGCAGCCGCGGUAAUACGGAGGGUGCAAGCGUUAAUCGGAAUUACUGGGCGUAAAGCGCACGCAGGCGGUCUGUCAAGUCGGAUGUGAAAUCCCCGGGCUCAACCUGGGAACUGCAUUCGAAACUGGCAGGCUAGAGUCUUGUAGAGGGGGGUAGAAUUCCAGGUGUAGCGGUGAAAUGCGUAGAGAUCUGGAGGAAUACCGGUGGCGAAGGCGGCCCCCUGGACAAAGACUGACGCUCAGUGCGA